GACGAACGCUGGCGGCGUGCCUAAUACAUGCAAGUCGAGCGCAGGAAGCUGACGGAACUCUUCGGAGGGAAGGCAGUGGAAUGAGCGGCGGACGGGUGAGUAACACGUAAGGAACCUGCCUCAAGGAUUGGGAUAACUCCGAGAAAUCGGAGCUAAUACCGGAUAGUUCAACGGACCGCAUGGCCCGCCGAUGACAGGCGCUUCGGCGUCACCUUGAGAUGGCCUUGCGGUGCAUUAGCUAGUUGGUGGGGUAACGGCCCACCAAGGCGACGAUGCAUAGCCGACCUGAGAGGGUGAUCGGCCACACUGGGACUGAGACACGGCCCAGACUCCUACGGGAGGCAGCAGUAGGGAAUCUUCCACAAUGGACGAAAGUCUGAUGGAGCAACGCCGCGUGAGUGAUGAAGGUUUUCGGAUCGUAAAACUCUGUUGUAAGGGAAGAACACGUACGAGAGGGAAUGCUCGUACCUUGACGGUACCUUACGAGAAAGCCACGGCUAACUACGUGCCAGCCGCCGCGGUAA
This 524-nucleotide ribosomal RNA is filed under the name uncultured bacterium. RNAcentral describes it as "partial 16S ribosomal RNA". It matches the Rfam family "Bacterial small subunit ribosomal RNA", at positions 28 to 523 of the family's 1533-position model. The record is from RNAcentral.